RNAcentral lists this ribosomal RNA (375 nucleotides) under Triticum aestivum (bread wheat). Its description in RNAcentral is "partial small subunit ribosomal RNA". Lineage: Eukaryota; Viridiplantae; Streptophyta; Magnoliopsida; Poales; Poaceae. The record is from RNAcentral.
AUGGCCCAGGGAAGCGAUGCCGCCGCGUGCCGCUGCAGUCUGCCCCUGCUGCCACUGCCACCGCGGCGCCUCCUCCUCGUCGUCCUCGUCGCCAUGCUCACCGUGGUUUUGGUGGCGCCGCCGUCGGCGAGGGCGGCGUGGGUGGAGGACUACCCGUCGGGGGUGCCGUGCGGGGCGACGAUCCCGGUGGAGCAGUGCGACCCGGGGGACGCGGCGGCCAACAGCGCCUGCAUGGACAUUAAGGUCCCGUUUGGAUUCCCUCCGCUCCGCGGCUCCGCGCCGGAGCAGAGCGGCAAUCCAGUUAGGGAGCGUUCGGAAUCCCUCCACUCCCAAGUCAGCUCGCGGAGCCGGCGGAGCUGCAGGCUGAAAAGGUAA